GCGUGCCUAAUACAUGCAAGUCGAGCGGACAGAUGGGAGCUUGCUCCCUGAUGUGAGCGGCGGACGGGUGAGUAACACGUUGGGUAACCUGCCUGUAAGACUGGGAUAACUCCGGGAAACCGGGGCUAAUACCGGAUGGCUUGUUUGAACCGCAUGGUUCAGACAUAAAAGGUGGCUUCGGCUACCACUUACAGAUGGACCCGCGGCGCAUUAGCUAGUUGGUGAGGUAACGGCUCACCAAGGCAACGAUGCGUAGCCGACCUGAGAGGGUGAUCGGCCACACUGGGACUGAGACACGGCCCAGACUCCUACGGGAGGCAGCAGUAGGGAAUCUUCCGCAAUGGACGAAAGUCUGACGGAGCAACGCCGCGUGAGUGAUGAAGGUUUUCGGAUCGUAAAGCUCUGUUGUUAGGGAAGAACAAGUGCCGUUCAAAUAGGGCGGCACCUUGACGGUACCUAACCAGAAAGCCACGGCUAACUACGUGCCAGCAGCCGCGGUAAUACGUAAGUGGCAGCGUUGUCCGGAUUAUUGGGCUAAAGGGCUCGCAGGCGGGUUCUUAGUUUGAUGUGAAA
RNAcentral lists this ribosomal RNA (573 nucleotides) under Bacillus velezensis. Its description in RNAcentral is "bacterial SSU rRNA". It matches the Rfam family "Bacterial small subunit ribosomal RNA", at positions 42 to 599 of the family's 1533-position model. Lineage: Bacteria; Bacillati; Bacillota; Bacilli; Caryophanales; Bacillaceae. The record is from RNAcentral.